UACGGGGGGGGCAAGCGUUGUUCGGAAUUACUGGGCGUAAAGGGCGCGUAGGCGGCCAACUAAGUCGGAUGUGAAAUCCCCAGGCUCAACUUGGGAACUGCAUCCGAUACUGGUCGGCUUGAAUCCGGGAGAGGGAUGCAGAAUUCCAGGUGUAGCGGUGAAAUGCGUAGAUAUUGGGAGGAACACCAGUGGCGAAGGCGGCUCACUGGACCGGAACUGACGCUGAGGAGCGAAAGCGUGGGGAGCGAACAGG
RNAcentral lists this ribosomal RNA (253 nucleotides) under uncultured bacterium. RNAcentral's name for it is "partial 16S ribosomal RNA". It matches the Rfam family "Bacterial small subunit ribosomal RNA", at positions 524 to 776 of the family's 1533-position model. The record is from RNAcentral.